AACCUAUAAUGAGGACACCUUCUCAAUAAAUCUUUAUAUCUCUCCCAUGCACCAUAUAGACUCUCUAAAUAGAUCUGCACAAAAAAGGAGAUAUCAUUCCUCAACUU
This is a small nucleolar RNA of Gossypium arboreum, 107 nucleotides long. It matches the Rfam family "Plant small nucleolar RNA R71". From Rfam's summary of the family: R71 is a member of the C/D box family of snoRNAs containing the C (UGAUGA) and D (CUGA) box motifs. Multiple nearly identical copies of this snoRNA have been identified in Arabidopsis, and it is thought to function as a 2'-O-ribose methylation guide for 18S ribosomal RNA. The record is from Rfam. Lineage: Eukaryota; Viridiplantae; Streptophyta; Magnoliopsida; Malvales; Malvaceae.